Molecule: ribosomal RNA, 424 nt
Filed under: Micrococcus sp. oral taxon F54
Lineage: Bacteria; Bacillati; Actinomycetota; Actinomycetes; Micrococcales; Micrococcaceae
Description: bacterial SSU rRNA
Rfam family: Bacterial small subunit ribosomal RNA
Source: RNAcentral
GAUGAACGCUGGCGGCGUGCUUAACACAUGCAAGUCGAACGAUGAAGCCCAGCUUGCUGGGUGGAUUAGUGGCGAACGGGUGAGUAACACGUGAGUAACCUGCCCUUGACUCUGGGAUAAGCCCGGGAAACUGGGUCUAAUACCGGAUAGGAGCGCCUGUCGCAUGACGGGUGUUGGAAAGAUUUUUCGGUCAUGGAUGGACUCGCGGCCUAUCAGCUUGUUGGUGAGGUAAUGGCUCACCAAGGCGACGACGGGUAGCCGGCCUGAGAGGGUGACCGGCCACACUGGGACUGAGACACGGCCCAGACUCCUACGGGAGGCAGCAGUGGGGAAUAUUGCACAAUGGGCGGAAGCCUGAUGCAGCGACGCCGCGUGAGGGAUGACGGGCCUUCGGGUUGUAAACCUUCUUUCAGUAAGGGAAAGA